AAAGACCCAGAGGCGAAGGCGCCUUCCUGGACGAGUAUUGACGCUGAGGCGCGAAUUGGGAGCGUGGGUAGCAAACAGGAUUAGAUACCCUGGUAGUCCACGCCGUAAACGAUGUGCACUAGAUAUUGGAGGUUUGACCCCUUCAGUGUCGUAGCUAACGCAUUAAGUGCACCGCCUGGGGAGUACGGUCGCAAGACUAAAACUCAAAGGAAUUGACGGGGGCCCGCACAAGCGGUGGAUUAUGUGGUUUAAUUCGAAGCAACGCGCAGAACCUUACCUAGGCUUGAAAUCCUGAGAAUCUGAUGGAAACAUCGGAGUGCUCUGCUUAGAAUUCAGUGACAGGCGCUGCAUGGCAGUCGUAAGCUCGCGUCGUGAGAUGUUGGGUUAAGUCUCGCAACGAGCGCAACCCCUAUCCUUAGUUGCCAGCAUUAAGUUGGGCACUCUAGGGAGACCGCCCGGGCUAACCGGGAGGAAGGUGGGGAUGACGUCAAGUGGUCAUGGCCCCUAUGUCUAGGGCUACACACGUAAUACAAUGGUGCAUACAAAGGGAAGCGACCUGGCAACAGUGAGCAAAUCUCAAAAAGUGCAUCUCAGUCCGGCUUGGAGUCUGCAACUCGACUCCAUGAAGUUGGAAUCGCUAGUAAUCGGAGAUCAGCACGCUCCGGUGAAUACGUUCCCGGGCCUUGUACACACCGCCCGUCACACCACGGGAGUUGGUCUUACCCAGCU
RNAcentral lists this ribosomal RNA (729 nucleotides) under uncultured Bacteriovorax sp. RNAcentral describes it as "bacterial SSU rRNA". It matches the Rfam family "Bacterial small subunit ribosomal RNA", at positions 703 to 1428 of the family's 1533-position model. Lineage: Bacteria; Pseudomonadati; Bdellovibrionota; Bacteriovoracia; Bacteriovoracales; Bacteriovoracaceae. The record is from RNAcentral.